This 411-nucleotide ribosomal RNA is filed under the name uncultured bacterium. RNAcentral's name for it is "bacterial SSU rRNA". It matches the Rfam family "Bacterial small subunit ribosomal RNA", at positions 94 to 538 of the family's 1533-position model. The record is from RNAcentral.
GUCGACGAUUUGGCGGACGGGUGAGUAACCUGCCCCCGAGAGCGGGAUGGCCCUGGGAAACUGGGAUUAAUACCGCAUAGUAUCGAAAGAUUAAAGCAGCAAUGCGCUUGGGGAUGGGCUCGCGGCCUAUUAGUUAGUUGGUGAGGUAACGGCUCACCAAGGCGAUGACGGGUAGCCGGUCUGAGAGGAUGUCCGGCCACACUGGAACUGAGACACGGUCCAGACACCUACGGGUGGCAGCAGUCGAGAAUCAUUCACAAUGGGGGAAACCCUGAUGGUGCGACGCCGCGUGGGGGAAUGAAGGUCUUCGGAUUGUAAACCCCUGUCAUGUGGGAGCAAAUUAAAAAGAUAGUACCACAAGAGGAAGAGACGGCUAACUCUGUGCCAGCAGCCGCGGUAAUAAUCUCUAGA